UGGGGAAUUUUGGACAAUGGGGGGAAACCCUGAUCCAGCCAUCCCGCGUGUGCGAUGAAGGCCUUCGGGUUGUAAAGCACUUUUGGCAGGAAAGAAACGUCGCGGGUUAAUACCCCGCGAAACUGACGGUACCUGCAGAAUAAGCACCGGCUAACUACGUGCCAGCAGCCGCGGUAAUACGUAGGGUGCAAGCGUUAAUCGGAAUUACUGGGCGUAAAGCGUGCGCAGGCGGUUCGGAAAGAAAGAUGUGAAAUCCCAGAGCUUAACUUUGGAACUGCAUUUUUAACUACCGGGCUAGAGUGUGUCAGAGGGAGGUGGAAUUCCGCGUGUAGCAUGAAAUGCGUAGAUAUGCGGAGGAACACCGAUGGCGAAGGCAGCCUCCUGGGAUAACACUGACGCUCAUGCACGAAAGCGUGGGGAGCAAACAGGAUUAGAUACCCU
This 441-nucleotide ribosomal RNA is filed under the name uncultured bacterium. RNAcentral describes it as "partial 16S ribosomal RNA". It matches the Rfam family "Bacterial small subunit ribosomal RNA", at positions 355 to 788 of the family's 1533-position model. The record is from RNAcentral.